GUACCUCUUUAUCAUGGAACACACACUCAUGAGAAAAUGUUUCAGAUCUGUUGUUGAACUUGAAGAUGUCAUAACUUCUUAUCAAGCGCAAUUGCAAUGCGAUCUUGCUCUUUCCCGGUUCCAAUUCCUUGAUGACGCCGAACAAAGGAGCCAUUUCAACGUAAAAUGAAAAAAUGAGAAUGAUUUUUGUGGAGAUCGAUUUUUUGGCUAUGGAAUUCGUAUUGUGAUAGGUAGAAUUCGUAUUGUGAUAGUUUGUGAGGUUAUAUUUAUAGAUGGUGGAAAUUAUUUAUUUUGUUUUAAAAAAUUAUGGAGUAACUGCUGCGAAUUUAUUUCUAUGCACCGAAAAUUUGGAAGUCGACUAAAGCAUGACCUCCCUACGAUUUUUCUCCUCGCAAAACCUAAACCUAACUGCUGAUUCGCCGCCGUCUUUCUGGUCUCCGGCGAUGCUGCUUCGCCAAGCGUCUCUCUAGCUGAUAGGGGGGCUUAACCUCCCGCCGGUGUCGAAUAAUUUCCAACCCCAGCAAGUUGCUACUGCUCGAGCCUCUC
Molecule: long non-coding RNA, 546 nt
Filed under: Salvia miltiorrhiza (redroot sage)
Lineage: Eukaryota; Viridiplantae; Streptophyta; Magnoliopsida; Lamiales; Lamiaceae
Description: long non-coding RNA (SMIL_LNC011520)
Source: RNAcentral